AAUAUGUCACAAUGGGCGGAAGCCUGAUGCAGCGAUGCCGCGUGAGUGACGAAGGCCUUCGGGUCGUAAAACUCUGCUCUAAGGGACGAUAAUGACGGUACCUCAGGAGGAAGCCCCGCCUACCUACGUGCCAGCAGCCGCGGUAAUACGUAGGGGGCGAGCGUUGUCCGGAAUUAUUGGGCGUAAAGGGUGCGUAGGCGGCCUUUUAAGUCAGGUGUGAAAGCCCACGGCUUAACCGUGGGACUGCAUUUGAAACUGGAGGGCUUGAGUGUCGGAGAGGGCAGUGGAAUUCCCAGUGUAGCGGUGGAAUGCGUAGAUAUUGGGAGGAACACCAGUGGCGAAGGCGACUGCCUGGACGAUAACUGACGCUGAGGCACGAAAGCUAGGGGAGCAAACA
This 397-nucleotide ribosomal RNA is filed under the name uncultured bacterium. RNAcentral's name for it is "partial 16S ribosomal RNA". It matches the Rfam family "Bacterial small subunit ribosomal RNA", at positions 360 to 774 of the family's 1533-position model. The record is from RNAcentral.